This 387-nucleotide ribosomal RNA is filed under the name Triticum aestivum (bread wheat). RNAcentral's name for it is "partial small subunit ribosomal RNA". Lineage: Eukaryota; Viridiplantae; Streptophyta; Magnoliopsida; Poales; Poaceae. The record is from RNAcentral.
AUGCAGGCAGGAGUCGGUCUACUUGUCUCGGACGUGAUGCCUAUAUACAUGAUCAUACCGAGAUAUUCUCAUAACUAUGCUCAAUUCUGUCAAUUGCUCAACAGUAAUUCGUUCACCCACCGUAAAAUACUUAUGCUUUUGAGAGAAGCCACUAGUGAAACCUAUGGCCCCCGGGUCUAUCUUCAUCAUAUUAAUCUUCCAACACUUUGUUAUUGCCUUUGCUUUUAUUUUACUUUGCAUCUUUAUCAUAAAAAUACCAAAAAUAUUAUCCUAUCAUAUCUAUCAGAUCUCACUCUCGUAAGUGACCGUGAAGGGAUUGACAACCCCUUAUCGCGUUGGUUGCGAGGAUUUAUUUGUAUUGUGCAGGUGCGAGGGACUCGCGCGUAG